RNAcentral lists this ribosomal RNA (163 nucleotides) under Fernandoa coccinea. RNAcentral's name for it is "5.8S ribosomal RNA". It matches the Rfam family "5.8S ribosomal RNA". From Rfam's summary of the family: 5.8S ribosomal RNA (5.8S rRNA) is a component of the large subunit of the eukaryotic ribosome. It is transcribed by RNA polymerase I as part of the 45S precursor that also contains 18S and 28S rRNA. Lineage: Eukaryota; Viridiplantae; Streptophyta; Magnoliopsida; Lamiales; Bignoniaceae. The record is from RNAcentral.
AUAACGACUCUCGGCAACGGAUAUCUCGGCUCUCGCAUCGAUGAAGAACGUAGCGAAAUGCGAUACUUGGUGUGAAUUGCAGAAUCCCGUGAACCAUCGAGUCUUUGAACGCAAGUUGCGCCCGAAGCCACUAGGCCGAGGGCACGCCUGCCUGGGCGUCUCG